AGCCGUGUGAUAAUUACAAAGCGAACUAUUCUUUCGCCUUUUACUAAAGAAUACCGUGUAUUUGUCACCUACAGCGGCAUACGCUAAUUUUUGUAAUAGGGUCUUUGAAAGAGGACC
This is a non-coding RNA of Glycine max (soybean), 117 nucleotides long. Lineage: Eukaryota; Viridiplantae; Streptophyta; Magnoliopsida; Fabales; Fabaceae. The record is from Rfam.